AUUCCGUCCAAGGCUAAAUAC
This 21-nucleotide small nuclear RNA is filed under the name Arabidopsis thaliana (thale cress). RNAcentral's name for it is "snRNA_17630". The record is from RNAcentral. Lineage: Eukaryota; Viridiplantae; Streptophyta; Magnoliopsida; Brassicales; Brassicaceae.